Molecule: long non-coding RNA, 724 nt
Filed under: Rattus norvegicus (Norway rat)
Lineage: Eukaryota; Metazoa; Chordata; Mammalia; Rodentia; Muridae
Description: long non-coding RNA NONRATT024793
Source: RNAcentral
UGGGAGUCAUAAGAAAAUGGAGAAUACUGUAUUUGCUUUAGAAAGUUUUUACAUAUAGAUAAACACGCAGUUAAGAUAACAGUAAAAGCGCCCUACGGGAGUGAAGGGGGCCUCCAAAGCGGCUAGGAAAACUUGAAUAGCUUUUGCAUAAGAAUACUACGGUCUCACUCUCUGCUUUUGCUAGCGACAGGGUCCCUCUCUCGCUCUAACCCUGGCCACCUCGUCAAGCCUCGACUGCCAAGUCGACGCCGAGAAUCCCCAAAGGAAAGAGGUGAGUGGGCAGGGAAGGAGGGAGGAGAGAGAGAGAGAAGGGAGAGGAGAAAAGCAGGUAUCAUAUACAAGCAAUUUCUACACAUAUAUUACAAACUGGGAAAAUGACCGAUCAUUAAGAUAUACAUAAUUCAUAUAAAAUUUUGAAAUAAAAAUAAAAAUCUGUUACAGUCAUAACUAUUCUUUUUCCACAUUUAUAACCAGUACCCACACAGGCAGUGACAGAGUGGAGAGAAAAAGGUGCUUACGAAGAAAAUGAUUGUCGGCUGAACAAAAACAGAGGAUUGCAUCUUGUUUGACCAAUACUUGGACUUAAAAAACAGAGAUAGAUAGAUAGAUAGAUAGAUAGAUAGAUAGAUAGAUAGAUAGAUAGAUGGAUGGAUAGGGCUAAAGGAGAAAAGAGCAACAGAAGGAAGAAACAUUUGCUAUUUCUCUCGAGGAGUUUUUUUUUUCC